ACGCUCGACACUACGGGGGCAGCAGUCGGGAAUAUUGCGCAAUGGAGGAAACUCUGACGCAGUGACGCCGCGUGCAGGAAGAAGGUUUUCGGAUUGUAAACUGCUUUAGACAGGGAAGAAAAAGGACAGUACCUGUAGAAUAAGCUCCGGCUAACUACGUGCAAGCAGCCGGACGGUAAUCUGAGGCGGGCGUGGACGAAGGC
This 203-nucleotide ribosomal RNA is filed under the name uncultured bacterium. Its description in RNAcentral is "partial 16S ribosomal RNA". It matches the Rfam family "Bacterial small subunit ribosomal RNA", at positions 326 to 538 of the family's 1533-position model. The record is from RNAcentral.